Molecule: long non-coding RNA, 335 nt
Filed under: Carica papaya (papaya)
Lineage: Eukaryota; Viridiplantae; Streptophyta; Magnoliopsida; Brassicales; Caricaceae
Description: long non-coding RNA (CPAP_LNC000271)
Source: RNAcentral
GGAUGGCCCAGAUCUCAUGUAUGCAAACGGUCCAGAUUUGAUCACGCACGGACAGCCCAGAUUUAUUUCCAAUUUAAUCGCGAUCGGAUGGCCCAAACCCUAGCCGCCAGAACCCUCGCCGGAGAAGACGACCUAGCCACUAGAGGAACCGACCACCGCCACCCGCCGCACAUUAGAGGAUUUUUCGGCCGCCAAAUGAGGUAAAACUUCUCCCCUUGUCUCAUUUUUCGAUGUUGAACCUCCCUAUGGCCAACUCGGAGCCAAACCACCAGCUGAUUGGCUGGAAAAUACCGCCAAGUCUAUCGGUGCCACUGCAGUUUCCUCAAUUUUUGCCU